AGAAAGUGGAAGCCAAUCCAUGAGUAAAGUGGCGACCGGGUGAGUAACACGUGACUAACCUACCUUCGAGUGGGGGAUAACCUCGGGAAACCGGGGCUAAUACCGCAUAAUGCCUACGGGUUAAAGGAGCAAUUCGCUUGAAGAGGGGGUCGCGGCUGAUUAGCUAGUUGGCGGGGUAACGGCCCACCAAGGCGAUGAUCGGUAGCCGGCCUGAGAGGGCGCACGGCCACACUGGAACUGAAACACGGUCCAGACUCCUACGGGAGGCAGCAGUGGGGAAUUUUGCGCAAUGGGGGAAACCCUGACGCAGCAACGCCGCGUGGAGGAUGAAGUCCCUUGGGACGUAAACUCCUUUCGACCGGGACGAUAAUGACGGUACCGGUGGAAGAAGCCCCGGCUAACUUCGUGCCAGCAGCCGCGGUAAUACGAGGGGGGCAAGCGUUGUUCGGAAUUAUUGGGCGUAAAGAGUGCGUAGGCGGUGCUCUAAGUCUGUCGUGAAAUCUCCCGGCUUAACUGGGAGGGUGCGGCGGAGACUGGAGUGCUAGAGUGUGGGAGAGGUAAGCGGAAUUCCUGGUGUAGCGGUGAAAUGCGUAGAUAUCAGGAGGAACACCUGUGGUGUAGACAGCUUACUGGACCACGACUGACGCUGAGGCACGAAAGCGUGGGUAGCAAACAGGAUUAGAUACCCUGGUAGUCCACGCCCUAAACGAUGCAUACUUGGUGUGAGCGAUUCAUUUCGUUCGUGCCCGAGCUAACGCGUUAAG
This 764-nucleotide ribosomal RNA is filed under the name uncultured bacterium. RNAcentral's name for it is "bacterial SSU rRNA". It matches the Rfam family "Bacterial small subunit ribosomal RNA", at positions 69 to 864 of the family's 1533-position model. The record is from RNAcentral.